RNAcentral lists this ribosomal RNA (473 nucleotides) under uncultured organism. RNAcentral's name for it is "partial 16S ribosomal RNA". It matches the Rfam family "Bacterial small subunit ribosomal RNA", at positions 334 to 798 of the family's 1533-position model. The record is from RNAcentral.
CACUCCUGCGGGAGGCAGCAGUGGGGAAUUUUGGACAAUGGGCGAAAGCCUGAUCCAGCCAUGCCGCGUGCAGGAUGAAGGCCUUCGGGUUGUAAACUGCUUUUGUACGGAACGAAACGGCCUUUUCUAAUAAAGAGGGCUAAUGACGGUACCGUAAGAAUAAGCACCGGCUAACUACGUGCCAGCAGCCGCGGUAAUACGUAGGGUGCAAGCGUUAAUCGGAAUUACUGGGCGUAAAGCGUGCGCAGGCGGUUAUGUAAGACAGUUGUGAAAUCCCCGGGCUCAACCUGGGAACUGCAUCUGUGACUGCAUAGCUAGAGUACGGUAGAGGGGGAUGGAAUUCCGCGUGUAGCAGUGAAAUGCGUAGAUAUGCGGAGGAACACCGAUGGCGAAGGCAAUCCCCUGGACCUGUACUGACGCUCAUGCACGAAAGCGUGGGGAGCAAACAGGAUUAGAAACCCCUGUAGUCCCAU